UUUUAAUAGCUUAUUAGAGCGCAAUAUUGAAAAUGUUGAGGAGAUUUAUCUUAAAAUAAU
This 60-nucleotide transfer RNA is filed under the name Taphes brevicollis. RNAcentral's name for it is "tRNA-Phe". The record is from RNAcentral. Lineage: Eukaryota; Metazoa; Arthropoda; Insecta; Coleoptera; Lycidae.